UCUCUUCUUCUUCUUUUAUUUGAUAAUACCCCAAAAGAACAGCCCACAACCGACAGGAUCAACCCCCAAUACACUCAGACUUAAACAAUUAACUUCUAAUGGUGACGAAAAAACCUCCUCAAAGAAAACCAAAACAGCCAUAAACCAAAACACAGGUAUACAUAUGAUCAUCACAGACCUAAGCAAACUACAAUCAAUAGGCCCCAAACCAAGAAAACAACCAGCAACACAAUAAACAGAUAUAUAUAUAUAAUGUCUAUUAUUAUUAUUAUGGUGGGAAUUAUUACUAGGAUUAUAUUCUCCAUAAAGUUGAAUGCUGAAAGAAGACUAUUUGAUUUUCUUAUAGGAAAAGAAAAAGAAACCAUGAACCCACCACCAUGGAUGCCUCUGUCACCAAAGCCACAUGACAGUCUGUAAUCUACUGUUUAUUUGUUUCUCAUAGUGACCACCAGAGGGCGCAUUCCUAACCUUUCACCCACCCCAUAUGGCACUAUAAAUACCUCCCCCUCCCUACCACCUCCGCGUACUCACAUUGCAACUCCAUCGGUAUCACAAAGAACAAAAAUAUGAAGCCAUUCUUUACAGCCCUUUUGUUGGUCUGCCUUGUUCUUACUUCCUCGUUCUUUGAGCUUACAAUGGCUGGUUCAGCAUUCUGUGACUCCAAGUGUGGGGAGAGGUGCGCAAAAGCAAGUGUGAAAGAACGGUGUUUGAAGUACUGUGGAAUUUGCUGUGAAAAGUGCAACUGCGUGCCCUCUGGAACUUAUGGGAACAAGCACGAGUGCCCUUGUUACCGGGACAUGAAAAAUUCCAAGGGCAAGCCCAAGUGCCCUUGAAGAACUUCACUGGAUUCAGUAUGGAGCUAUAAAGAAUCAGUACAUAUAUAGCUAAUUAAUAAUAAAUUGCAUGGAUUGUGUAGAGAUUAUAUAUAUGUAAUUAGUUCAUAAAAGUCGAAAUAUGAACGGAGAAACUGAUGUGCGUACUUCCAUUAGUUUAUGAAAGUGGAUGGUUUGUUAUCUAUCUCUCUGGUACUGGCAUGGCUAAUUGGAUGUUACUGUACUACUGUCCUUGUAUCAAAUUACUUAAAUAAAUUAGAUAAUUUUAAUUUAAACA
Molecule: unclassified non-coding RNA, 1110 nt
Filed under: Hevea brasiliensis (rubber tree)
Lineage: Eukaryota; Viridiplantae; Streptophyta; Magnoliopsida; Malpighiales; Euphorbiaceae
Source: RNAcentral